UACGUAGGGGGCAAGCGUUGUCCGGAAUUAUUGGGCGUAAAGAGCGUGUAGGCGGUCCGGUAAGUCAGCUGUGAAAGUCAAGGGCUCAACCCUUGAAAGCCGGUUGAUACUGUCGGGCUAGAGUCCGGAAGAGGCGAGUGGAAUUCCCGGUGUAGCGGUGAAAUGCGCAGAUAUCGGGAGGAACACCAAUGGCGAAGGCAGCUCGCUGGGACUGUACUGACGCUGAGACGCGAAAGCGUGGGGAGCAAACAGG
Molecule: ribosomal RNA, 253 nt
Filed under: uncultured bacterium
Lineage: Bacteria
Description: partial 16S ribosomal RNA
Rfam family: Bacterial small subunit ribosomal RNA
Source: RNAcentral